UGUCUCAUCACCUCAAUUUUAAAUUAUGUGUGAUGAACAGCUUUUUCGAAAUCAAAGAGUUCCUUGUAGGUAAGUAGUGUCUAAAAUUCAGUUGCAUACUUUAACUCUUUAUAAAUGGAGUUGAAGAAUAUUUGUAAUCUGAUAGACAGAUGUCAAAAUAUACAAGCAAUCACAGGACAAAAACGGAUGAGAUACCAAAAGGCGAUCAAACACCUAUAAGUCUUAGAUACAAUCAAGAUGACAGACAUAAGUGACAUCACUCCAUAACACGUGUAUAAUAGAUAUAGGAAGAUGUGGCAUGAGUGCCAAUGAGACAACUAAGUCACAAUUCAUAAAAGUAAACCAUUAUAGGUCAAGUUACGGUCUUUAACACGGAGCCUAGGCUCACACCAAACAGCAAGCUAUAAAAAUUACUAGUCUAAAACCAUUCAAACGGGAAAACUAACGGUCUUAUCUAUAUAAAAAACGAGAAACGAGAAACACCAUAAACCAACAAUAUUACUAGUGCCAUUGAUCCCAGAUAUAUUAAGAGAUGUAGUGAAGAUGCUACCAAAGGUCUCCCAACAAAAUAGUUUGUAGAAAAGAUAAUUAAAACUACGAUCAUUUAACAUAGCUCUUAAACAACAAAUAUGUCUGCGAAAAAUCUGUUUAUGAUAAAAAGUUUGCAUAAUGUAGGAUAUAAAACAUGACAAUAACACGCUAUACAUGUCAUGCGUCCAAAGCCUAUACAUGUCAUGCGUCCAAAGCCUAUACAUGUCAUGCGUCCAAAGCCUAUACAUGUCAUGCGUCCAAAGCGCUUUUCUGAAAUUGCCUUUAUAAGUAAUGCUCAAAGCCGAAAAACUGAAAGCCAAGAUUGUUCAAUAAUCUAAACAGUUGAAGAGCUAUAUAACCCAAAAGGACCCCAAAAAAUAGCCAAAUCCAUGUCGGUAUCGAAGUAAUGACUACUGAGCGGAUGCUACCCUCGAGGACUGAUAGUCAACCAGCAGAGGUAUCUAACCAGAACUAUAAAAGAUGAAAACAAAACAUGUGACAACUUUCAUUAAAGGGGAUCACAUUCGGCUUUUUUCGACAUUCAUCUAUCUCCUCAGUCUAACUUCACAUUUUUAUUUUUGCUAUACCUAUCGACAACGGCAGCUCAUUGGUUUAGAGCUAUCCAACUGAUAUAUAGAAUUUGAAUAUAGAUUUGUUACACGUUUCAAGAAGUUAUAUCAUGAUUUGUUUUAUCUGUCGAUGGAUUUGUGAAUUAUAAUCCAAUACUCAAUUUAGCUACUGUUUACAAAACAUUCCUUUAUGUUGGUGCAAAACCCAUGACGUCAACAAAAGCAUCAUAACAAUGAUUGGAAUUUACCAACAUUAACAUUUAUCAAUAACGAUUUUUUUCAUAUUACUCUGUUUCUAUUUUAAGCAUACAAAACAUCUGUGUUAAAAAUCGAUUUGGGUUCAAUGCUAAAAGUAUGAAACAAAUGCAAAUCAGGAGUUAUUAGAACGAAAUGGCGAACAAAUGAAUAACAAAUUUUUGAACGCAAUGCCAUUUACAAAUGGAAAUCGUUGAAUUUUGAAUAAUAUUUAUAAAACAACGGUUUCCCCAAAUUAGCCAAACAUUAAAGGAAUCACUGUGUUUCCAAAUAAUGUAAUAAAAUCCAUCUGGGAAAAUCCAAACGAUGAUCAGGAUUUUUGUUUUCAUUUAUUUCUGUUUAAAACAAUUUAAUUUACUUUUGAUUGUACAUGGAUUAAUUCACAACAGAUAUAUUAAUAUUUAGGGCACCAUUUAAUCGCCAAGAUGCGAAAGAAACCAUGGCAAAUUCAAGUUUCAUAAGACUAAGCAAAACUAACAACGCCACGACAAAAGAAAAUGAUAAAAAGACAAGUCUUGAAAUGAGAACAUAUAUAUAAAACUAAGGAUCGAAGAAUACAAAACCAUAAAAUAGCGGGAAUUAAUUCAGGUAGUUCAUUAGGGUCAGCAUCAGUAGUGAUCAUCAUGAAAGAACAAAGCAAUCGAUAAAUCUCAUUGUGUAAUGUCACAUUCUAGGAAAAGAUGACGGAUUGGGAUAACGACAAUUGGAACAUAUCUCCCUUCUGUUACCGUUACAAGAGCUAUUAUAAUUUCACAUUUCAUAUUACAUACUAUUAAGCGUAUUUAUCUGUGUUGUAAGUUUAAAGUAAAUUUCAAAAUAUCAAACGUUACUCCUGAUCGGCAUAAGUAGUUGUAACGUAAUUAAUUGGAGCAAAUUUUCAUUUUCAAUGUCACAGUAGUUACAUAAUGAAAUUGAGUAGGUCACGCACUGAUGUCAGUUAUGUCAUGAACUUUCAUGAAUAAAUAUAUAAAAAGAAGUGCAUGUAAAAUAUUUAACACUUUGUGUCAGAUCAUUUGUAUUCAAGAAGGUUGAACUUGAAGUGGAAAUAUAUGUUACUACUCCCUGUAAAGAAAGAUUGGAAAUAGACAAUCCUGAAACGUGAAAAACUACAGAUAGUACUAGUACCCCUCCCCCUUUUCCCUAGUUUUCUAGAAAUAGCAAAUAUAUUAUUUUACUUUAAGCUACUACUGUCCAAGAUCAGUUCCUUAAUUAUGCUAUAUACGAGCUAUAAGUAUAACAUCGUCUUGAACUGUAACUGGUUACUGAUUAAGAGGCAUAACCGUAUGUUAUAAAUUUAAGAAACUAUGAACAGUCUUGCUAAGUUAAUCAGUUAAUAACAUUUCAUUUUAGAAAAUUGAAGAUUCAAUGAAUUUCCAUCUCAAAUUGUGCAAACCAAAGUACAGACACAGAUAUAGAUAUAUAAUAACCGCAUGAUCUGUACAUAUUGUGUGCUAUAAGAAAAUCAAUAAAUCAAAUUUUAUUCAAAAUCAGAACAAUAUGUUUCAAAUAGAGGACGUAAUUAGCUAUUGAUUAGAUAUUGUUUCUGAUCAGGAGAAAAAAACGAAACAAAUUCCAUGAAGUCUCAGAAUGAAUUAUGAUUAAGAUUAUUUGAGAGAUACGAUUGAUUAUCUAAAAUAUUGUCAAACCAUCGAGGGUAUAUCACGCAUGUAACAUGCUUUUGAAUUGCAUGCAUUGCAGGGCUAGACAGAGAGAACAAAAUAGCCAAUUAUUUUGUUUUGGGAUAAGGACAAGUGCAAUUGAGCAAAUGCUUUCCCGUGAUUAUAACAACUUACAAAUAAAUAAUUCGUUACAGUUUCUGUGCUAUCAAUACAAUUCCUUUCUAUAGUUAGUAAUAAAACGAGGUUUAAUCAACCAUUUUUAUAGAUAAUACAUGUAUCAAGUCAGAAAUAUGACAGUUGUUAUCCAUUCGUUUGAUAUGUUCGAGCAUUUGAUUUUGCCAUUUGAUUGGGGACUUUCCGAUUAAAAUUGGAGUUCAGUAUUUUUGUGAUUUUAUUUUCAACUUAAAUAACAAUUCAGAGUACUUAGUAUAGUUUUGUUUUUGUUUGUCUUUGCUCACAAUAGCUAUAAUCCAAUACUGAAACUGAAACCAAAUGCCCCAAAUUCCAAAUUGACCACCCUAAUAUAACAUGUUUAUCAAGUAGUACGAAGUAUUCGAGACAAUUUAAAACUCGGUCAGUCGGAAAUCUACUUCCUACAUUGAAGUGUUUUUGUAGUCUAAUCAGAUUAUUAAGUUUUCAAGUUUUUACAAGGCAGGUUAUGUCAUUAUAUUUGUAGUUGCAGUAGGUUAUAUUUAAAGCUAGCCUUCUAUCAAAUAUCAUAUAAAUUUCCACUAGUGAUAUUAACCUUAGUUUGUGGCUGUUUCUAUAUAGGCUCAUUUGUGCGAAUUUUUUAAAUGUUCAAAUUUCCAUUUAUACAUUCUAUCAUGUAAAAAAAGACGCUUUGUGCACAUAGAAAUCGGUACAAUCAUAUAUAGUUCUUAUGGAGUGUGUAUAAGGGUCUGACUUUUAUUUUUUUUAUUAGAUUUCUACCCGCAGACACAUUUACAACCAUGGUAUACAUAGUAUACAUCUGUCGGCGAUAACCAUGCCUGCAUGAUGACAAUAUAAAAUGACAUAUUGUCAGGGGGGAUAUUAGAGGGAGUGUUCUCUGUGUCCUUGUGACAAAAACAUUUAAGUAAGCACAUACCCUAUUACUGCGGAUAACGAUACUGCAGAUGUAUAAGGUAUCACAUAAAACAUCUGUUGUUUGCUAUGUUUAACAACCUAUGAAACCUCGUUUAAUCCCCCAUUUUCUACAUAAGGAAAUGCCCAUAACGAAUCAGGAGUAUCAGAGUUCUUGUGAGGUUUUUAAUUAGAAGCAAGGGCGAAGAACUAUUUUUUUAGUUAUCGGGAACUACAGACACAAAUAUGAUGUAGAUAAACGAAAAAAAAAAUCGUUUUGAUUUCAAGUGGGGCCACAUAUUUGAUCGAAUCUGACAUUGAAACGGACGAUUGUGGUGUGUGCAUAUGUCUGUAUAUAUUUCUCAUGCGAGUUAGUUGUAAUCUUGAGUUUCGUUAUUCAUUUUCUGUUUUCGCAAUAAUGUUUAUGAUAAGCUUUUCAAUUAUGCGAAAUGUUUACAAUUCUAGUUUAACCUAUUUUCCAAGUAAAAUAAGAGAUUGUGUAUUUUUGCCACAUCGAACUCGGUCAGUCAGAAAUAUACUUCCUAUAUAUUAGUACAGCAGUAUUUAAUUAAUAGCCUUUGAAAUUAAUAUAAAAGGAUUGUCAAAAGCAUACAAACUAUUUCGUUUAUCAAACCACAAUACGGUUACACACGUCUGAAUAGCAUAAAAUAAACAAAACUUCUUUAUGUUUAGUUCGGAUCACAAGAGAAUAUUAAAAAAAAAAAUAGAUGAAAACGGAUUGCACUGAAUAUAUAUGAUAUCUACAAUGAUAAAUUAUAAAACUUUGAUCAUUGAAUUGCAAAGGUCAAAGAUACCUUUUAAUCAAUUAAAAUAUGAUUGACGUCGUUUCCUUCUUUAUGGAAUCUGUGUGGUUUUCAGUUUUUCUCCGAAUUAUACGAUCUAAAUCAAAUAAGUAUUCUGUAUGGUCAAAUUGCAGUUUCCUCAGAAAAUCUAGUUUUGUAACAUAACAAAUUGGCCAAUAGCAGCCUAACACACUAUGGCCAAUUUCUUGUUGCUACCUGUUUCCAUCCAUUACAAACUUUAACACAUAUACCCCACAAUCUGAAAUAGUUAUUUGGGCGUUGCAUAAUAAAAGCCUGUUUUAUGAAAGAUUUAUUAUUUUUAAUAAAUGAUUAAAGAAAAAGUAGUCAGAACUUGUUUACUACAUACCAGACAUAUUUAGGUAUCGAAAGUUGCAAUGUUAAAUUGUAGCGAAUACGACCGACGUAUACAUUUCCACUCAAUCUAAUUUCAGUUUAGACAAGUUUAAAAUUUUGUACAAAAGAAUGCAUUUUGCACAGGGAUUUAUUAUUUCACAAAGAUUUUCUACAUUUGAAAAUGCCUGUACCAAGUCAGGAAUAUGACAGUUCUUGUCCAUUUGUUUUUUAUGUGUUUUGUCAUUUGUUUUUGCCAUGUGAUCAUGAACUUUCCGAUUAGAUUUUUCUCUGAGUUCAGUUUUUUUGUGAUUUUAUUUUUUUGACAACAUGGUAAAUAUGAAACGAAAUAGUUUAAAUGAAUUCUCAUUUUGGAAAUUUACUUUUCACUUUGAGUAUUUGCCAAUAAAUAAUCGGCAUAUUUUUUUAAGCAUUGACAAAUUGAACUAUAUCUUAAUUUUUCAUGCAAUAAUAGAUUUUAAAUGGUAGUACUUUCUAGCUAAACGUCUUUCUAAGAAACAAGUUUAAAGUUAUCACACUUCAGAUUUUAAAGAUAUCAUAAAUCAGUUUAAACCUUGAACGAUAACAAAAUACAAAGAUAGUAUUGAGAUUCUUGUUUAUGGGAAGGCUGGUCCUCUACCUUGCAAUAUACGGGUAUUACAAGACCAAACAGAUAAAGGACAGAGAACCAGGGUAGUUCGUGGUAUGGUCGUUCGUGCAAAGAAUUACAGUGAAACGAAAACUAAAAUCUAUAUACAACAUUUUUUAGGAAUGAGCUUUCAGAUACUAGUACGCGACAGUCUUGAAUCUUUUGAUUUCAACAAAAUAAUCGUAUACGAAUGAAACAUCGAUGGACCAUGUGAUGAGACUGAAAUAAUUAUGGUAUUGAGCGGCCAAGACUAAAAAUGGGCCAGAAUUAGUAGGGAAAAAACAUAAAAUGCAAAAGGAAACUAAAAUUUAUGCGACGGAGAGUACUAUCCGUGAAGUUUACCAUAUCCCGCUACCAAUACGACACUCGUUGCAAAACCUGCAGUGGAUAACCAGUUGGAAUGCGCACCAAGCAAACAAAGUAGAAUAUUAAUGUGCGUAUUUGUUAUGUGUUCAGGGGAGGCGGAAGAUAGCGAAUGAAUAUUCAAAUCUUCAGUUAAAGACAAAAUGACAACGUAAAAAUUAUAUAAUGGCAC
Molecule: long non-coding RNA, 6374 nt
Filed under: Mytilus galloprovincialis (Mediterranean mussel)
Lineage: Eukaryota; Metazoa; Mollusca; Bivalvia; Mytilida; Mytilidae
Source: RNAcentral